This 1374-nucleotide long non-coding RNA is filed under the name Salmo salar (Atlantic salmon). RNAcentral describes it as "lncRNA (ENSSSAG00000104654.1)". The record is from RNAcentral. Lineage: Eukaryota; Metazoa; Chordata; Actinopteri; Salmoniformes; Salmonidae.
CAUAAUAGAUGUCAGUAUUGAAUAUAAUAGUGUAGCAUCAAAGGCAGAAGUCUACCAGAGUUUACUAUGGUUAGAGCAGUAAUGGCAUUGCUGGAUUAGCAUAAAACCAUCUGAGAUUGUUCACUCUUCGACGCCUGCCUACAAAAGCAAUCGCCCACUCACAAAUGACAAUUAUUCCAAUGAGCAACCCGAUCCUGAAGUGGGAUUCUAUCAGCUCCCAGCACCCACAUCAGAUUGGAAUGACUAGUCUACCACACAUUCCUCAACAUUUCAUGUUGCAAUGAAAAGAGGAGAACUUGUGGUGCAUUUGGUGUGUGUGUGUGUGUGUGUGUAGACUUGUGUUACAGGUAGUGAUGUGCAGGCUGCAGUAUCCCCUGUACUGUAGGUGUGUUUGUCAGACGUUUGAGGUGGAUGACUUGUGUGAGAGGACUAGUGAGUGUCCAUGUGGGCAGUGUUUUACUGUUUCCCUCCCCAUAGGAGCAGUGUUUUACUGUUUCCCUCCCCAUAGGAGCAGUGUUUUACUGUUUCCCUCCCCAUAGGGCAGUGUUUAACUGUUUCCCUCCCCAUAGGAGCAGUGUUUUACUGUUUCCCUCCCCAUAGGGGCAUGUUUUACUGUUUCCCUCCCCAUAGGAGCAGUGUUUUACUGUUUCCCUCCCCAUAGGGCAGUGUUUUACUGUUUCCCUCCCCAUAGGGGCAGUGUUUAACUGUUUCCCUCCCCAUAGGAGCAGUGUUUUACUGUGUUUUACUGUUUUACUGUGUUUUACUGUUUCCCUCCCCAUAGGAGCAGUGUUUUACUGUUUCCCUCCCCAUAGGAGCAGUGUUUUACUGUUUCCCUCCCCAUAGGGCAGUGUUUUACUGUUUCCCUCCCCAUAGGGCAGUUGUUUAACUGUUUCCCUCCCCAUAGGAGCAGUGUUUUACUGUUUCCCUCCCCAUAGGGCAGUGUUUAACUGUUUCCCUCCCCAUAGGGCAGUGUUUUACUGUUUCCCUCCCCAUAGGAGCAGUGUUUUACUGUUUCCCUCCCCAUAGGGCAGUGUUUAACUGUUUCCCUCCCCAUAGGAGCAGUGUUUUACUGUUUCCCUCCCCAUAGGAGCAGUGUUUUACUGUUUCCCUCCCCAUAGGAGCAGUGUUUUACUGUUUCCCUCCCCAUAGGGCAGUGUUUUACUGUUUCCCUCCCCAUAGGGGCAGUGUUUUACUGUUUCCCUCCCCAUAGGAGCAGUGUUUUACUGUUUCCCUCCCCAUAGGGCAGUGUUUAACUGUUUCCCUCCCCAUAGCGGCAGUGUUUUACUGUUUCCCUCCCCAUAGGGGCAGUGUUUUACUGUUUCCCUCCCCAUAGGAGCAGUGUUUUACUGUUUCCCUCCCCAUAGGAGCAGUGUU